This is a long non-coding RNA of Canis lupus familiaris (dog), 878 nucleotides long. RefSeq lists it as uncharacterized. The transcript has 5 exons. NCBI's taxonomy places the organism in Eukaryota, Metazoa, Chordata, Mammalia, Carnivora, Canidae. The record is from RefSeq and is a predicted model, not a curated record.
CAGAGGGUUCUGAGCAAAGCCCCAAGGGAAAGCUCCCAAUGUUGUUAUGUGAGCUCCUCCUAGGGAGUCUGAUACACCUCUGGAACCUCAGAACUAUUCAUGGUUGCAGCUCUAUCAAAUUUUUCUGUGUGUAUCUGAGACUAUUGUUUGGUGCAUACAUCUUUAGGACUGCUAUGUCCCACUGGUGAAGAGACAAUGAGAAGAUCACCUUCUGGAAACCAGGAAGUCAGCUCUAACCAGACACUGGAUCUGCUGGCACCAUGAUCUUGGACUUCCAGCUCCAGAACUGUGGGAAGAGCUUCCUGACAAUGUGAGACAUGAAGAUGGUGGAUCCAUUUAACCUGGUGUGGACUGAGCCUGGGUGGAGGUUAGAAUUAAGAGUGCCUUCAACUGCCUAAGGAAAGGAGAAAGAUAAGGAAGGACGUAGAACUUAUCCUUUGGAAAGCUAAAACUAUAAUUGCUAGACAUUGGACAUUUAAAAUUAUUGUAACAUAUGAUUUUCAUUAGUUUCUUAAAACAAAUAUAGCAACCAUAUAAAUAAUAGUAAGUGCUAAUGUUUAUUAUGCACAUCAGUGGCCCAAGCGGGUACCAAGCAUUUCACAGGUAUGCUAUAAUUUUUUCUUUCCUCCAGACCUCUAAAGCAAGUAUUAUCAUGCCAUUUUAUAAUUCGAGAAGCCACAUCUAAGUAUAUGGGUGGCUAAAUAACUUGUCUAAGGACAUGAUAACAAAUAGCAGAAUUAGGACUUAAAGUCAUUCCUAUUUGAGUCAGAAACCCACUAUCAUCUGGGGGCUCCAGAUACUUUCUUUGCAACUAUUCCAUAAAUGUUAAAUAAUUCCAAAAUAAAAAGUUAUUUGAAAAAAAUAAAAACCAUUAUCUA